GGAAUAUUGGACAAUGGCCGGGAGGCUGAUCCAGCCAUGCCGCGUGAGGGAGGACGGCCCUAUGGGUUGUAAACCUCUUUUGUCGGGGAGCAAUAAGUAUUACGCGUAAUACGAUGAGAGUACCUGGCGAAUAAGCAUCGGCUAACUCCGUGCCAGCAGCCGCGGUAAUACGGAGGAUGCGAGCGUUAUCCGGAUUUAUUGGGUUUAAAGGGUGCGUAGGCGGGUGCUUAAGCGUGAGGUGAAAGCUCGGAGCUCAACUCCGGAACUGCCUAGCGAACUGGGUGCCUUGAAUGUCCGUGCCGUGGGAGGAAUGUGUGGUGUAGCGGUGAAAUGCAUAGAGAUCACACAGAACACCGAUUGCGAAGGCAUCUCACGAACGGAUGAUUGACGCUGAGGCACGAAAGCGUGGGGAUCAAACA
Molecule: ribosomal RNA, 419 nt
Filed under: uncultured bacterium
Lineage: Bacteria
Description: bacterial SSU rRNA
Rfam family: Bacterial small subunit ribosomal RNA
Source: RNAcentral